AAUCAAUUUUAUACAUGCAAGCAUCAGCACUCCAGUGAAAAUGCCCAAAACACAAACAAUAAAGGAGCUGGUAUCAGGCACACAUUUUCAGCCCAUAACACCUUGCUAUGCCACACCUACACAGGUCCUCAGCAGUAAUUAACAUUAGGCUAUAAGCGAAAGCUUGACCUAGACAUGAUUAACCAGGGCCGGUUAAUUUCGUGCCAGCAACCGCGGUUAGACGAAAAGCCCACAAUAGUACACAACGGCGUAAAGAGUGACCAGAAGCUACCCACAGCCCUAAAAACAAAACACAACUUUAGUAGUAAAAUACCAAAAACCCAAGAAUACCCAAUUUUUAGCCCUGCAGGGCCUUUGACUCACAAAAACUGAGAAACAAACUGGGAUUAGAUACCC
RNAcentral lists this ribosomal RNA (396 nucleotides) under Guarocuyus jaraguanus. RNAcentral describes it as "partial 12S small subunit ribosomal RNA". Lineage: Eukaryota; Metazoa; Chordata; Lepidosauria; Squamata; Diploglossidae. The record is from RNAcentral.